CUCAGGAGACUGUCUGGUGUGGAAAUGAAGAUGAUGUCUGGAAGGAAGGGCUUUAUGCUAGAUCAGGAGAGAGAGGUCUCCCUCAGUGAGGACUACAAG
This 99-nucleotide long non-coding RNA is filed under the name Struthio camelus australis. RNAcentral describes it as "lncRNA (ENSSCUG00000005131.1)". Lineage: Eukaryota; Metazoa; Chordata; Aves; Struthioniformes; Struthionidae. The record is from RNAcentral.